RNAcentral lists this ribosomal RNA (427 nucleotides) under uncultured bacterium. RNAcentral describes it as "bacterial SSU rRNA". It matches the Rfam family "Bacterial small subunit ribosomal RNA", at positions 355 to 774 of the family's 1533-position model. The record is from RNAcentral.
UAGGGAAUAUUGGACAAUGGGGGCAACCCUGAUCCAGCCAUGCCGCGUGAGUGAAGAAGGCCCUCGGGUUGUAAAGCUCUUUUGUCCGGAAAGAAAAGCUUCGGGUUAAUACCCCGGGGUUCUGACGGUACCGGAAGAAUAAGCACCGGCUAACUUCGUGCCAGCAGCCGCGGUAAUACGAAGGGUGCAAGCGUUACUCGGAAUUACUGGGCGUAAAGCGUGCGUAGGUGGUUGUUUAAGUCUGAUGUGAAAGCCCUGGGCUCAACCUGGGAAUGGCAUUGGAAACUGGGCAGCUAGAGUGCGGUAGAGGGUAGUGGAAUUCCCGGUGUAGCAGUUAAAUGCGUAGAGAUCGGGAGGAACAUCUGUGGCGAAGGCGACUGCCUGGACCAGCACUGACACUGAGGCACGAAAGCGUGGGGAGCAAACA